CCCACACAAUUACAUAUUAAACGAAGGAAUACAAUUUCUGCAUGUGUCGAAUACAAUUUGGCUCGCGUUUCACUCACAACAAAGUCUGGAACGAGAUAAAGCGAAGGGCCUAAGUUACACCCACGAAAAUGACAAGUUUGACAGCUGAUGACAAUCAUUUAUAUUGAUAUGCAAUGCUUGGCUUCGUUAACGGUGCCUGUGCAAGUGGGCGGUCGUCGUAAGCGUUGUGUGAUAAUUAAAUUAAAGAAGCAAGCAAACUCACCGCAAUUUUCUUCAGGCGAGAAGUUUGAUGAACUUCUAACAAGCAAUUGGCAGAGAAGAAAGGGACCGUUUUCAAACUGUGAAUUUGUUAAUUUAUGGAAAGUAUUGGUGGUUUUCUUAUGCGCCUUGCUGUCAAAAUUAUUAUUAUUGUUUGCCUGAUGAGAUGAAGACAAGGAAGAGCUUUGGC
This is a long non-coding RNA of Xenia sp. Carnegie-2017, 448 nucleotides long. RefSeq lists it as uncharacterized. The transcript has 3 exons. The record is from RefSeq and is a predicted model, not a curated record. NCBI's taxonomy places the organism in Eukaryota, Metazoa, Cnidaria, Anthozoa, Malacalcyonacea, Xeniidae.